This is a long non-coding RNA of Oxyura jamaicensis (ruddy duck), 275 nucleotides long. RefSeq lists it as uncharacterized. Lineage: Eukaryota; Metazoa; Chordata; Aves; Anseriformes; Anatidae. The transcript is spliced from 3 exons. The record is from RefSeq and is a predicted model, not a curated record.
CAGGAUAUUGCCAACUAGAGUAUCCAUCAAUGGAAAAAUGAUAAGUCAUAUAGCUUCAAGUCCGUAGCUACCUGUAUGAGGGAAAGGAAGUACAUGAACCGUUAUGGAACAAAGAGUAGUCCUGUCAGGGAAUUAAUAGAAAGCAUCCUUCAGGAAAUGUAUCUGUUUAGCUAUAGCUAGGCUGCUGACAACAGAAGGGAAUCUUAGGAAUGAUAAACCUUGUGCGAGUGCCUGCUGUGCUGACCUGCUCAUCCUGUCCCAAGGAAACCUGAGCU